Non-coding RNA from Hordeum vulgare subsp. vulgare (domesticated barley), 175 nucleotides. The record is from Rfam. Lineage: Eukaryota; Viridiplantae; Streptophyta; Magnoliopsida; Poales; Poaceae.
UACCUGGUUGAUCCUGCCAGUAGUCAUAUGCUUAGCUCAAAGAUUAAGCCAUGCAUGUGCAAGUAUGAACCAAUUUGAACUGUGAAACUGCGAAUGGCUCAUUAAAUCAGUUAUAGUUUGUUUGAUGGUACGUGCUACUCGGAUAACGUAGUAAUUCCUAGAGGCUAAUACGUGC